GACUGCGUCUCCGCUCAAUGGUGUCCAAUGGCAGACCAAAUGGCGAUAGUUCUGGUGACAUCAUUGAGUCCGAGUCAAGAGUUUUCUGGGCAGCACACUGGUCAAAGAGAUUUACAGCCUCCGCGAUGGUUGCCUGAUUCUGCUCCUCGUACGCCAUGGCGACCACGGCCAGGAUGAGGUUGACCAGGUAGAAGGAACCGAGGAAUAUGACCACCACGAAAAACACCAUUGUUUACGACUGAGGGCUUGUUAUCGCUGUGCAGCCGGGACCAGCCCACUCGUGUCACUGCUGAGACGGAGCAGAUAACGCGGGGACGGCAUUCAUCAUAAUUGAAAUUCCACAUUCGUAUCCUAUCAUAUUCAUCGCCGCCCACACAGUCACAUCUGAUCCACUGAUACACAGCAGUCCUAUUGGUGGCAUGCUGCUGGUCAGUGGAGGGAGGGCUGCUGCAGUUUAUAGCUGAAACGAUGAGCUGCUGCCUCUGCCCACAACAACUUACAGAAGCAGGCACCCAAAGGUGACUCUGAAACCAGCUUCAGCCAACAUUAUAAAAAGCCAACAGCAAGGAGGUCCAAGUUCAGAGGUGGCAUGAAAAUAAUAAGAAAAUAAUGUGUGGCAAUGUGACCUGGGCCUGAGUCCAUGUGGCUUUUACAUCAUAUUAAUGGCAUAUUGUUCAUUCUGCGUUGAUUGUCUCACUAACAUAAUGUUUAUUUGAUAGUUAGUUUGAUAGUUCCUGAUGCCACAAUGUCCCCAAGUAAUUCAAGUUCAGUGCAAAAAGUGAAGUGUGUUAACUUACCUGUAACAGCUGUUACCAAAUAAACAAAACUUGUGGAAGUGUAGUUUUGUUAAGUGUUAAAACUUAGAACUAUAGCCUUGGAGAGUGUGGAGGAGUUAUGAUGCACAAGAAGAGGGUGACAUUAACCGAAUC
Scatophagus argus is the source of this 929-nucleotide long non-coding RNA. RefSeq lists it as uncharacterized. The record is from RefSeq and is a predicted model, not a curated record. NCBI's taxonomy places the organism in Eukaryota, Metazoa, Chordata, Actinopteri, Scatophagidae. The transcript has 3 exons.